CCUACGGGUGGCAGCAGUCGAGACUCAUUCACAAUGGGGGAAACCCUGAUGGUGCGACGCCGCGUGGGGGAAUGAAGAUCUUCGGAUUGUAAACCCCUGUCAUGUGGGAGCAAAUUAAAAAGAUAGUACCCCAAGAGGACGAGACGGCAAACUAUGGGCCAGCCGCCGCAGUACUACAGAGGUAUCAAGCGUUGUUCGGAAUCACUGGGCGUAAGGCGUGCGUAGGCGGUUUAGUAAGUCGUGUGUGAAAGGCGCGGGCUCAACCCGCGGACGGAACAUGAUACUGCGAGACUGGAGUGCAGGAGGGGUAGGCGGAAUUCCUGGUGUAGCGGUGAAAGGCGUAGAUAUCAGGAGGAACACCGGUGGCGAAGGCGGCUUGCUGGACUGCAACUGACGUUGAGGCCCGAAAGCGUGGGGAGCAAACAGGAUUAGAUACCCGGGUAGUC
This 446-nucleotide ribosomal RNA is filed under the name uncultured bacterium. RNAcentral's name for it is "partial 16S ribosomal RNA". It matches the Rfam family "Bacterial small subunit ribosomal RNA", at positions 338 to 795 of the family's 1533-position model. The record is from RNAcentral.